CAUGUCUCGAUAUCUGUUCUGUGAGCUGAGGAAAUGAAUCACAAUAUUAUCAGAAAAUGCCAGAAAGCCCUGUGCACAGAACACACUGAAGAGCGGGUUGAUGCAACCAAUUCCUCCAUACUGAUGCCGCAUGGGAGAGCUGAGAGACCUUCUCCUAGCAUGGCUUGCAUUGUGACUCACAGUGACCAGUUCAUGUUUGGAUAAUCGUCCAUUCCUUUUGUCUCAUAAGAAAAGAAGUAUUUCUAUAGUUAUUAAACAUGGUGCUUUAAUGCAAAGACUGCCAUUUUUUAUUAAAUAUUUUCUUUAUUUACAUUU
Molecule: long non-coding RNA, 315 nt
Filed under: Mus spicilegus (steppe mouse)
Lineage: Eukaryota; Metazoa; Chordata; Mammalia; Rodentia; Muridae
Description: lncRNA (ENSMSIG00000024631.1)
Source: RNAcentral